Molecule: non-coding RNA, 31 nt
Filed under: Mus musculus (house mouse)
Lineage: Eukaryota; Metazoa; Chordata; Mammalia; Rodentia; Muridae
Source: RNAcentral
UCUAAUGUGUUAUUGUGACCUUCAAGGAUGC